Molecule: unclassified non-coding RNA, 342 nt
Filed under: soil metagenome
Description: partial contains 5.8S ribosomal RNA, internal transcribed spacer 2, and large subunit ribosomal RNA
Rfam family: 5.8S ribosomal RNA (bases 1-121)
Source: RNAcentral
GAUGAAGAACGCUAGCGAAAUGCGAUAAGUAGUGUGAAUUGCAGAAUUCAGUGAAUCAUCGAAUCUUUGAACGCACAUUGCGCCCUUUGGUAUUCCUUAGGGCAUGCCUGUUCGAGCGUCAUUUAAACCCUCAAGCUCUGCUUGGUGAUGGGCGUCUUGUCGACCUGGCGGACUCCGCCGGUGACUCGCCUCAAAUCUAUUGGCGGCUAGCAUUGUAGUUUCGAGCGCAGCAGAAACGCGAACUCGGGUCUACUUGUGAGCUCCCAGCAAGCCACCCCCCAAUUUUGACCUCGGAUCAGGUAGGGAUACCCGCUGAACUUAAGCAUAUCAAUAAGCGGAGGA